ACGAACGCUGGCGGCGUGCUUAACACAUGCAAGUCGCACGCUGAAGCUCAGCUUUUGUUGGGUGGAUGAGUGGCGAACGGGUGAGUAACACGUGAGUAACCUGCCCCCUUCUUUGGGAUAACGCCCGGAAACGGGUGCUAAUACUGGAUAUUCACUGGUCUUCGCAUGGGGGUUGGUGGAAAGGGUUUUUCUGGUGGGGGAUGGGCUCGCGGCCUAUCAGCUUGUUGGUGGGGUGAUGGCCUACCAAGGCUUUGACGGGUAGCCGGCCUGAGAGGGUGACCGGUCACAUUGGGACUGAGAUACGGCCCAGACUCCUACGGGAGGCAGCAGUGGGGAAUAUUGCGCAAUGGGCGCAAGCCUGAUGCAGCGACGCCGCGUGAGGGAUGGAGGCCUUCGGGUUGUGAACCUCUUUCGCUCAUGGUCAAGCCGCAACAAUGGUUGUGGUGAGGGUAGUGGGUAAAGAAGCGCCGGCUAACUACGUG
RNAcentral lists this ribosomal RNA (482 nucleotides) under uncultured bacterium. RNAcentral describes it as "partial 16S ribosomal RNA". It matches the Rfam family "Bacterial small subunit ribosomal RNA", at positions 29 to 507 of the family's 1533-position model. The record is from RNAcentral.